Molecule: long non-coding RNA, 250 nt
Organism: Arachis stenosperma
Lineage: Eukaryota; Viridiplantae; Streptophyta; Magnoliopsida; Fabales; Fabaceae
Exons: 3
Source: RefSeq, a predicted model, not a curated record
UCAGAAAAUUUCAACUUAACGAGUGAAGGAAGCAUUCAACUUUGAGUUCCGGUUAUUAUCGAGGCUUCAAGAGUUGUAGAAUUAUGGGACAUCAUUUGGUAGCUCGUUGACGCGCUCAGAGUUGCUUCCGGUUCUUUGGAAUCAAGUUAUACAGGAGUCAUUCCAGGUUCCAUUCCACCUGCCCCUCAGUAGAUCUUAGUCAUUUUGGUGAGCCCUUCUUCUUUGCAAGGGCUAAGUAAUUAUGUAAUGG